This is a long non-coding RNA of Stylophora pistillata, 281 nucleotides long. RefSeq lists it as uncharacterized. The record is from RefSeq and is a predicted model, not a curated record. Lineage: Eukaryota; Metazoa; Cnidaria; Anthozoa; Scleractinia; Pocilloporidae.
CGACAAAACAUUUUUACCUCCGUCACAAGGAUUUAACCUUUUUCCCCCUUUUUCUCCUUGUCAGGUGCACUAGUGGAACAAAGGCGGUUCACCUUACCCAAGAAUGGAUGGGAAAAAAAUUGCAAACUUACUUGAAGAAGGAUACAGAAUGCCUGAACCACAACACUUGGAUAAUGAAUUGCUGGAUUGACCUUGGAUUGACCUGCCUGACAUACCGGGAGAGAUGAUCUGCCUAGAUGAAGAGUGAGAUAGCCGAAGAGCUUUCCGAGAUCAUGAAGAAA